Molecule: ribosomal RNA, 465 nt
Filed under: uncultured bacterium
Lineage: Bacteria
Description: partial 16S ribosomal RNA
Rfam family: Bacterial small subunit ribosomal RNA
Source: RNAcentral
CCUACGGGAGGCAGCAGUAGGGAAUCUUCCACAAUGGGCGAAAGCCUGAUGGAGCAACGCCGCGUGGGUGAAGAAGGUCUUCGGAUCGUAAAACCCUGUUGUUAGAGAAGAAAGUGCGUGAGAGUAACUGUUCACGUUUCGACGUUCUCUAACCAGAAAGCCACGGCUAACUACGUGCCAUCAUCCGCGGUAAUACGUAGGUGACAAGCGUUAUCCGGAUUUAUUGGGCGUAAAGGGAACGCAGGCGGUCUUUUAAGUCUGAUGUGAAAGCCUUCGGCUUAACCGGAGUAGUGCAUUGGAAACUGGGAGACUGGAGUGCAGAAGAGGAGAGUGGAAUUCCAGGUGUAGCGGUGAAAUGCGUAGAUAUAUGGAAGAACACCAGAGGCGAAAGCGGCUCUCUGGUCUGUAACUGACGCUGAGGUUCGAAAGCGUGGGUAGCAAACAGGAUUAGAUACCCUGGUAGUC